GGGUGCGAUCAUACCAGCACUACGACACCGAAGUGC
Molecule: ribosomal RNA, 36 nt
Filed under: Prospero obtusifolium
Lineage: Eukaryota; Viridiplantae; Streptophyta; Magnoliopsida; Asparagales; Asparagaceae
Source: RNAcentral